Long non-coding RNA from Camellia sinensis, 1523 nucleotides. RefSeq lists it as uncharacterized. Lineage: Eukaryota; Viridiplantae; Streptophyta; Magnoliopsida; Ericales; Theaceae. The record is from RefSeq and is a predicted model, not a curated record.
UUUCUCAAUCAUCUUCAUCGAAAUUCAAGAUUGACAUUUUUUUAAUCUCAAAGUCUAACUAAGCCAAAUCUCUCUUUAAAUAGCCAAUUUAUUCCAUGUUUAGAACAUAAGCAAAGCAAAAUCAUUGAAGAAGAAGAAGGCACACUUGGAGUCAGUGUGAAAAGUGUUCAUCAUCGAUGAAGGAUCGGAAAGACAAAAGGCGGCAGACACUGACGCUCUGUUGCGCAAAUCUUAACUUGAAUGAAAAUAAAAACAAGAAGAUCAAUAAAGAGGAAUCUGGUGGUGGUCAUAGUGGUAUUAUCAGCAGCAGCACUCGGCGCGAUGGACUUUUCUCUGCGAUUUUCGGGGAGAGAAGUGGGCGAUCCUCAGUGUUUCUCUGUUGCUCCCAGAUUCAGGGCUCAUCAUCUCCCCCAAUGUCCCCUCUCGCCCCCAAACCUGAUGAUUCUUUCGGUUUGUCACCGAAGCAAGGUGCAUUGUCUGUAAUGGUGCCGCCCGUGGAGGAUGUGAAGAAUCAUAAAGUAAAAUAGCUUUUGGAGCUAUAUAUAUUUAUAAUAAUGUUAUAAUAUAUAAUUACACUUAUAUAUUAUAACGGAUUUAUUAUCUCAUAUAUUAUUAUUAUAUUAGCUUGAGAAACGUUGUGUUAUUUUAUUUAGGUAAGAAAAAGAAAAAAAAUAGUUAUGCUUUCUUAUUAUUAUAUUUGGAUGAAUAAAAAAAAAAUUACACGUGUAAUAGAGAUAUGAGUAUUUUUUUUUUUUUUGAUGAAUGACGUGUAAUAGGGCACAAACAUUACCAAUUCCCACUUCUCUCUCUACCUCUCCUAGGGUUUCUUUGAAGGCGUUGCUCGGGGCAGGAGAGGGGGGCUCCGAUCUCUGGCAGCCUCUCCCCUCAUUUUUGCCCCUCAUCUCUUUCGUUUUUAUUGUCCUUUUUGGCUCAAUAAUACUUUGGAAGCUUAGUCUUUCCAUUUCUCUCUCCAUGUGAGGUCCUUUUCCCCAUCUUGGUAGAACUCUACUCUUCAUUCUCAUUCUUCUCAGACUUCCCCAACCAGGGUCUCACUGGAUCUGCCAAUCUCAUCCUCCGUCUUCCGUCCGUGCCGCCUCCACCCUACCAAAUCUGUCGGAUCGUCCGUCUCCUAAGUAUGUUGGGCAUUAGAUCUGCUCCUCCUACCACCUCCCCAUCAUCAGAUUUGCCAUGGAUCCUGGAAUGGAAGUCCUUUUUUUUUUUCCUCAGUUUUUGCUUGUGGAUUUGGGGUCAUCUGUGCUUAGAUUGUGGCUUUUCAAACUUUGUGGUUGAAAUAUAUGAUUUAUUUUAGACAGGCUCUACUGUCGAUUUUGAUCGGCUUUGCUUUUGCAGUAUGAGCCCAAGCACAUGAUGUGCGUCUGAAUAUUUUCAUAUUUUUUCUUCAAAGUGCUUCUUGUAAUUUUCUUUUCUCUGUUUUGUUGUAAGCUUGGUCGUUUGAUGGCCCUUGUAAAUGCCGUUUUUGGCUUCCAUUAAUGGAUUUCUACUGAUCAAAAAAAAAAAAAAAA